Molecule: unclassified non-coding RNA, 191 nt
Filed under: Glomus sp.
Lineage: Eukaryota; Fungi; Glomeromycota; Glomeromycetes; Glomerales; Glomeraceae
Description: partial contains 5.8S ribosomal RNA and internal transcribed spacer 2
Rfam family: 5.8S ribosomal RNA (bases 1-65)
Source: RNAcentral
GUGAAUCAUCGAAUUUUUGAACGCAAAUUGCACUCUCCUCGGAGAGUAUGCCUGUUUGAGGGUCAGCCUAUAAAAAAUCGACAUCGUUACUGUUUCGCGGUGUCGUUCGUCGGAGAUUGGGUCAUCUUAUUGCUGUUGGUUUUAAGCGACUUAAAAUUUUCUUUUUGGUUCCAUGACCGUCUCUAAGUUUU